AUGAACUGGAUUUUUCGGCGGCCCACCCUUCACUGGACAGUGGAUUUGUGGAGGAAGGGACCCCACGGGAGGCACACGUCUGGAAAGAAGAAAGGGACCUUAGCAGGUGUGAUCUUGACUUUUGGCAAUGAAUCCCCGACCUUUUGAAAAAUCUCAUUGUAUCUUGACACAACGUUCUCCAUCUGCUUAUGAAGGAGCUAUUGACAAUAUGUAAAUCACAAUUGUAUGAGUGAAGACUUUUGGGUGGCUUACAAGCUUCAGAACCCAACUUGAGCUCCAGGAAAAUAGAGGAGUUGCGCUGAUUCCCAUCAACCAAACUGAGGGAAGAAAAAAUGUCCUGCAUAGGACCAGGGAUAAAUGGAUUGAGGACUCCAGUGUCACCAGAUCCUGUUCUCCAUCUCUCAUUCCUAGUUCUUUUUCCA
RNAcentral lists this long non-coding RNA (422 nucleotides) under Felis catus (domestic cat). RNAcentral describes it as "lncRNA (ENSFCAG00000045486.2)". Lineage: Eukaryota; Metazoa; Chordata; Mammalia; Carnivora; Felidae. The record is from RNAcentral.